GUGGGGGAUAACGUUCCGAAAGGAACGCUAAUACCGCAUACGUCCUACGGGAGAAAGCNGGGGACCUUCGGGCCUUGCGCUAUCAGAUGAGCCUAGGUCGGAUUAGCUAGUUGGUGAGGUAAUGGCUCACCAAGGCGACGAUCCGUAACUGGUCUGAGAGGAUGAUCAGUCACACUGGAACUGAGACACGGUCCAGACUCCUACGGGAGGCAGCAGUGGGGAAUAUUGGACAAUGGGCGAAAGCCUGAUCCAGCCAUGCCGCGUGUGUGAAGAAGGUCUUCGGAUUGUAAAGCACUUUAAGUUGGGAGGAAGGGCAUUAACCUAAUACGUUAGUGUUUUGACGUUACCAAC
Molecule: ribosomal RNA, 351 nt
Filed under: bacterium A03-2
Lineage: Bacteria
Also listed under: 1 other name
Description: bacterial SSU rRNA
Rfam family: Bacterial small subunit ribosomal RNA
Source: RNAcentral